Molecule: ribosomal RNA, 253 nt
Filed under: uncultured bacterium
Lineage: Bacteria
Description: partial 16S ribosomal RNA
Rfam family: Bacterial small subunit ribosomal RNA
Source: RNAcentral
UACGUAGGGGGCAAGCGUUGUCCGGAAUCAUUGGGCGUAAAGAGCGUGUAGGCGGCCAGAUAAGUCCGCUGUGAAAUCUCGAGGCUCAACUUCGAGCUGUCGGUGGAAACUGUCUGGCUAGAGUCCGGAAGAGGAGAAUGGAAUUCCUGGUGUAGCGGUGAAAUGCGCAGAUAUCAGGAAGAACACCCGUGGCGAAGGCGGUUCUCUGGGACGGUCCUGACGCUGAGACGCGAAAGCGUGGGGAGCGAACAGG